RNAcentral lists this ribosomal RNA (551 nucleotides) under uncultured bacterium. Its description in RNAcentral is "partial 16S ribosomal RNA". It matches the Rfam family "Bacterial small subunit ribosomal RNA", at positions 355 to 920 of the family's 1533-position model. The record is from RNAcentral.
UGGGGAAUAUUGCACAAUGGGCGAAAGCCUGAUGCAGCAACGCCGCGUGAGUGAUGAAGGUCUUCGGAUUGUAAAGCUCUGUCUUUUGGGACGAUAAUGACGGUACCAAAGGAGGAAGCCACGGCUAACUACGUGCCAGCAGCCGCGGUAAUACGUAGGUGGCGAGCGUUGUCCGGAUUUACUGGGCGUAAAGGGUGCGUAGGCAGAUGUUUAAGUGAGAUGUGAAAUACCCGGGCUUAACUUGGGUGCUGCAUUUCAAACUGGAUAUCUAGAGUGCAGGAGAGGAGAAUGGAAUUCCUAGUGUAGCGGUGAAAUGCGUAGAGAUUAGGAAGAACACCAGUGGCGAAGGCGAUUCUCUGGACUGUAACUGACGCUGAGGCACGAAAGCGUGGGUAGCAAACAGGAUUAGAUACCCUGGUAGUCCACGCCGUAAACGAUGAGUACUAGGUGUAGGAGGUAUCGACCCCUUCUGUGCCGCAGUAAACACAUUAAGUACUCCGCCUGGGAAGUACGAUCGCAAGAUUAAAACUCUAAAGUGAAUUGACGGGGUC